This 495-nucleotide ribosomal RNA is filed under the name uncultured bacterium. RNAcentral describes it as "partial 16S ribosomal RNA". It matches the Rfam family "Bacterial small subunit ribosomal RNA", at positions 28 to 523 of the family's 1533-position model. The record is from RNAcentral.
GAUGAACGCUAGCGGGAGGCCUAACACAUGCAAGCCGAGCGGUAUUUGUCUUUCGGGACAGAGAGAGCGGCGUACGGGUGCGGAACACGUGUGCAACCUGCCUUUAUCUGGGGGAUAGCCUUUCGAAAGGAAGAUUAAUACCCCAUAAUAUAAUGAAUGGCAUCAUUUAUUAUUGAAAACUCCGGUGGACAGAGAUGGGCACGCGCAAGAUUAGAUAGUUGGUGAGUGAACGGCUCACCAAGUCGAUGAUCUUUAGGGGGCCUGAGAGGGUGCUCCCCCACACUGGUACUGAGACACGGACCAGCCUCCUACGGGAGGCAGCAGUGAGGAAUAUUGGACAAUGGGUUAGCGCCUGAUCCAGCCAUCCCGCGUGAAGGACGACGGCCCUAUGGGUUGUAAACUUCUUUUGUACAGGGAUAAACCUACUCUCGUGAGAGUAGCUGAAGGUACUGUACGAAUAAGCACCGGCUAACUCCGUGCCAGCCGCCGCCGUAA